RNAcentral lists this long non-coding RNA (418 nucleotides) under Setaria viridis. RNAcentral describes it as "long non-coding RNA (SVIR_LNC009261)". Lineage: Eukaryota; Viridiplantae; Streptophyta; Magnoliopsida; Poales; Poaceae. The record is from RNAcentral.
AUGAUUUUUGGAGGUCAUUUGAUCGAGUUUCGGAUUUUUCCAGCUUCCUCACGAAAGUUGAUUUUGGAAUUCCAGAAUAUUCCAGAAUAUUCCGGAAAUUUCUGAAGUUCCGCAAUUUUCCGAAGGUUUUUCUGGAAAUUUCCAAAAAUCCGGAAUUUUCCAAAGGUUUUUCCGAAAUUUUCUGAACUAAGGUGUUGGUUUUCAAAAUCCUUCUUCCGACACUUGUUUUUUACUUCUUCUUCCUUCCGCUAGUCUCAAAUUGGGUUCCUAGCAUCAUUCCUAGAUCCAUUAGCUCGUGCAUAGCUAAAUGGACUUGAUUUUGCUAGAAGUGAGGUUUCUGGAUUGAUUUGGGAUCUUAGCCGAGGUUCUUUGAGAAAAUUUGAAUUGGCUCCCAUUCACCCCCCCUGGUCGCCUGUCC